This 290-nucleotide ribosomal RNA is filed under the name Trametes versicolor. RNAcentral's name for it is "partial 28S ribosomal RNA". It matches the Rfam family "Eukaryotic large subunit ribosomal RNA", at positions 357 to 637 of the family's 3401-position model. The record is from RNAcentral. Lineage: Eukaryota; Fungi; Basidiomycota; Agaricomycetes; Polyporales; Polyporaceae.
GGGAAAGAUGAAAAGCACUUUGGAAAGAGAGUUAAACAGUACGUGAAAUUGCUAAAAGGGAAACGCUUGAAGUCAGUCGCGUCGUCCGGAACUCAGCUUUGCUUCGGCUUAGUGCACUUUCCGGUUGACGGGCCAGCAUCGAUUUUGACCGCUGGAAAAGGGCUGGAGGAAUGUGGCACCUUCGGGUGUGUUAUAGCCUUCAGUCGCAUACAGCGGUUGGGAUCGAGGAACGCAGCGCGCCUUAUGGCUGGGGUUCGCCCACAUUCGCGCUUAGGAUGCUGGCAUAAUGG